RNAcentral lists this ribosomal RNA (274 nucleotides) under uncultured bacterium. RNAcentral describes it as "partial 16S ribosomal RNA". It matches the Rfam family "Bacterial small subunit ribosomal RNA", at positions 524 to 796 of the family's 1533-position model. The record is from RNAcentral.
CACGUAGGGGGCGAGCGUUGUCCGGAUUCAUUGGGCGUAAAGAGCUCGUAGGCGGCUCAGUAAGUCGGGUGUGAAACCCUCAGGCUCAACCUGGGGACGCCACUCGAUACUGCUGUGGCUAGAGUCCAGUAGGGGAGUGUGGAAUUCCCGGUGUAGCGGUGAAAUGCGCAGAUAUCGGGAGGAACACCAGCGGCGAAGGCGGCACUCUGGGCUGGUACUGACGCUGAGGAGCGAAAGCGUGGGUAGCAAACAGGAUUAGAAACCCCAGUAGUCC